GGAUGAACGCUGGCGGCGUGCCUAAUCCAUGCAAGUCGAGCGAACAGACGAGGAGCUUGCUCCUCUGACGUUAGCGGCGGACGGGUGAGUAACACGUGGAUAACCUACCUAUAAGACUGGGAUAACUUCGGGAAACCGGAGCUAAUACCGGAUAAUAUAUUGAACCGCAUGGUUCAAUAGUGAAAGACGGUUUUGCUGUCACUUAUAGAUGGAUCCGCGCCGCAUUAGCUAGUUGGUAAGGUAACGGCUUACCAAGGCAACGAUGCGUAGCCGACCUGAGAGGGUGAUCGGCCACACUGGAACUGAGACACGGUCCAGACUCCUACGGGAGGCAGCAGUAGGGAAUCUUCCGCAAUGGGCGAAAGCUUGACGGAGCAACGCCGCGUGAGUGAUGAAGGUCUUCGGAUCGUAAAACUCUGUUAUUAGGGAAGAACAAAUGUGUAAGUAACUAUGCACGUCUUGACGGUACCUAAUCAGAAAGCCACGGCUAACUACGUG
This 498-nucleotide ribosomal RNA is filed under the name uncultured bacterium. RNAcentral describes it as "partial 16S ribosomal RNA". It matches the Rfam family "Bacterial small subunit ribosomal RNA", at positions 27 to 507 of the family's 1533-position model. The record is from RNAcentral.